RNAcentral lists this ribosomal RNA (457 nucleotides) under uncultured bacterium. Its description in RNAcentral is "partial 16S ribosomal RNA". It matches the Rfam family "Bacterial small subunit ribosomal RNA", at positions 28 to 523 of the family's 1533-position model. The record is from RNAcentral.
GAUGAACGCUGGCGGCGUGCCUAAUACAUGCAAGUCGUACGGAAAGGCCCUUCGGGGUACUCGAGUGGCGGACGGCUGAGUAACGCGUGGGAACGUGCCCCAAAGUGAGGGAUAACGCACCGAAAGGUGUGCUAAUACCGCAUAUGGUCUUCGGAUUAAAGCUUCGGCGCUUUGGGAGCGGCCCGCGUACGAUUAGAUAGUUGGUGAGGUAAUGGCUCACCAAGUCGACGAUCGUUAGCUGGUCUGAGAGGAUGAUCAGCCAGACUGGGACUGAGACACGGCCCAGACUCCUACGGGAGGCAGCAGUAAGGAAUCUUCCACAAUGGGGGCAACCCUGAUGGAGCAACGCCGCGUGCAGGAUGAAGGUUUUCGGAUCGUAAACUGCUUUUAUAAGUGAAGAAUAUGACAGUAACUUAUGAAUAAGGAUCGGCUGACUACGUGCCAGCAGCCGCCGCAG